AUAAUCAAAAUUUAAUAUGGCUGGCGAUAAAGGUAAAGAGAAGUUUAAAGGAACAAACAUUAGAGAGCGUCUUGUCAAUUAAAGUGACCGCUACAGUCGCCGAAACAAGAAAAGGAAUAAUGACUUUAUUAAAAUACGCACUCAACAGAUCAAAUGGUGGUGGUCGGCGCGUAAAAGGCGAUUUACCCGAUAUAUAACAUUCAUACUUUUUCCUAAUUGUUCUGGAACUAUUAAUAAUAGUUAUUAUUGAUAAAUAUAUUACAGAUAAAUAAAACUUUUUUUUUUUCAAACAUUUUACUUUAUUUGCAUUUUAUAUAAAGUCCCUUGAAGCAAUUUAGUGGUAUCUGAUUAAUAUACUUGAAAUAUUAAUAUUAUAAUACAUAAUUCUCUGCGCAAA
Long non-coding RNA from Hydra vulgaris (swiftwater hydra), 397 nucleotides. RefSeq lists it as uncharacterized. Lineage: Eukaryota; Metazoa; Cnidaria; Hydrozoa; Anthoathecata; Hydridae. The record is from RefSeq and is a predicted model, not a curated record.